GAAGCCAAGUGGCGAAGAGGACAGAUCUUUGCAGGUGGCAGCCCAGGCCAUGGGACAGCAAUGUUCUGCUGCACUGAAAACUUUAAAGGGUCCUUCAGGCAAAAGUCAGAUCUCAUCCCUUUCAUUUCACACAUCCUCCCUGGCUCCUUCCAGGCCUACAGCCUGGGCUACAAAGCCAAUGUACCAGUGUCUAUGUGUUUGCUGGAGGAACUGUUACUGAGCAACGGUAUCCUGAGUGACACAACACAUCGCCAUGCCUUGCAGAGUGUCGGGCGCACCGCUUGCUGCAGCCAGGCCCUUCCUCCCACUGAGCUGUGUUGGCAUCAAACUCAGAUCAGCCUUGAACACUCAAAGAAAAACCUGCCUGCUCUGAAUAUUGCCUGAGGAAUUAGAAAGGUCUUUCUUGGAAACAGAAGAAUGAGAUGAAACGAUCAUCUGUAGAGCAUGGUCUUUGUCCCAGAAAAUACAGAGAGAAAGAAGAUCCUGGAGUUGAACUGGAGCUGAGCUGACCAUGGACUUCGUCCAAAGAGUAGAAUGUGCUUGGAAACCUUCCUAUCUCUGUGAUGGGCCUUAUUAGCCCUUGGAGGAGCUGGCAUGAGUUGGAUGGCUGUAACGCGUCCUGUUAUGCUAUACCAGAAAUCUCAGCUCGUGGAGAAGGACAUCUCAAAGCUGAGCUGGGAAUGAAUCCGCUGGAUGUCCAGUUUAUUUCAAGGAUUCCUGCUGGAGUCCCAUCUACAGACCAUUUCUAGAUUACAAUUGACUAUCUAAGACUGUUUCAGGAAUAUUUAAUGGGCCAACUCAAAUUAGCCAAUCUGAAGGAGUGAAUUUUGGCCUUGAGAGCUCUCUGAACACAUGCCAUUCUGCAGAGCAAAGGGAAGAGGCUGCCUGCUGUCAGAAUUUCAGUAGGUGUCAGUGUGGAUUUUAAGCUGGAUGCUCAGCCUGAGUAUUUAGGUUCUUUGUGAAUUUACUACAGUCCGCAGUUUUCAGCCCUUGGGUCAGUUUAACCUCCUCUUUUCACACUGAUCAAAGAUUGCUGGUGAUAGAUGGUCACUAACUUUGAUAACAGAGCCAGGAUUAAGAGGGUUCUUUUGCUGCUGUAGUUAUAAGUCUCCACAAAACCAUGACCUGAAUAUCCUGCCUGUGUAACACAGCCACAGAUCUGGCUGAGGCACAGGGUGAGGUACUUCACAUCCAUCCUGGUGUGACCUUCAGCAUCCUUAUCUGGCAGGAAUUGCUAAGCCUGCAUGGGAAGAUCAAAAGAGUUCCUAUCAUUCAGCCCAUCAACAUUUGGGCCUAACUCCAGUUGCUGUCAGGAGUACAUCAAAGGUGGUCUUCAUUUGAGUGGCAUUUAUCAAGUCCAGAGAGCACCAGGAAGACUAAUAUCCAUUACAGAGCAAUGCAGAUGUCCUCAAGAAAUUAGGACAGCAUCUUCAGAGAGGAAGACAUAUCCUGGCCAGGGCUCUCUAUAUUAAGUUUCUUACCUCUGCAGAAGAGUGUGGAUUAGGUUGGGGGACCAGCAAGGUCUGCAUGAACUUCUUAAUCUACACCUUACAGUUGUCCACCAUGAAAGUGUGUCUAGCCAGCAGCCUUGGGAUGUGCUUCCCUCUCCUUUCUGCUUGCCAGAGCUGUUGUGCGUUUGUUAACUGAUACCUUUUGCUCCAGAGAUGGUGGAUUUCAGGAUUGGUUUUGACACUGCAUCCCCUCUUUGAAGAAGCGCAUAAUUAGCUAUUUCAGUAUGGGAAAUGUUUGCAGUAUGUGAAGCCAGGAGCUGCGUUUGUUUGCUUGCUUAAAUGAAGAUGGAGUUAAGUGCAUGCUUAACUGAUUUCCUGGUGGAGGAUCCAAGUUAGAACUUUGUGAUGAUAAUUAGCAAAAAGAAAAGGAAAAGGUUAACCCAUAUUUGACAGCAGCCUAGAGAAGAAUGUGAGUGCCCCUCUUAGUAUUAAAAUAUUCCAGUGCAUUUCCCUGGUCAUGCUUUCAUUGGGAAACAGCACUUCACAGAGAGGCCUCAAUGCAUGUACCUGUAAAAUCUCUUGUGUGUUUGAUGUUGGCACUUCUCUGAAGAUGUAUUUUUCCAACACAAGCCUGAGUCAGUAGCAGACAGCUUAGAGGAAAGGCUGGGCUCCAGGAACAAAUACAGCUUUUGUCUCUUCUCUUUGAGGGCUUUGGAUCACGAAAAGAAAUGUAACCUGGCUGUUCGGUGUGUUUCUGUUCUGUGUUCAAAAGUCUGAUGUGGAGGAGACCAAGAGCUGGUAAUCGGUAUUGAGUUAAUUCCUGCCUUCAUCGUUGCUGCCUUGCAAACUUCAAAGCAGAAAAGCUACUCUCUUUACACCUACAAGCAUAAUUUCCAGAGCUGAAGCAGGGUAAUUUUCACAUGCAAAUUCAAGAGGCAAGCCUGCCUUAUCUGAGCAGGUGGACAUGCUGUUUAAUGGGACAGCAGCACCUCUCCUUUUCUUCCCAGAAGGGGAGCAAGGCAGCAGAAAUAAAAGGGUUUCUUUUGCUGUUGUUCUAGGGGAAAAUAAGUUUACCUUUACAAAAGGGGAAAAUGCCACCUUGUGCUUUGUUUUUAUGCUUUGAAUUGUGUUGAAUCCAGGAAAAAAAAAAAAAAGUAGAAUUCAGUUUACCAUCUAGAGCUUUAUAUUACAUUUUUCAUCAGCUGUUGGAAGCAUAAUGCAGAAAUGAAAGACUUUGGCAAAGGAACUGGUCAGCUUCACA
This is a long non-coding RNA of Pezoporus occidentalis (night parrot), 2712 nucleotides long. RefSeq lists it as uncharacterized. The record is from RefSeq and is a predicted model, not a curated record. The transcript has 6 exons. Lineage: Eukaryota; Metazoa; Chordata; Aves; Psittaciformes; Psittacidae.